AGAGUUUGAUCAUGGCUCAGAUUGAACGCUGGCGGCAGGCCUAACACAUGCAAGUCGAGCGGUAGCACAGAGAGCUUGCUCUCGGGUGACGAGCGGCGGACGGGUGAGUAAUGUCUGGGAAACUGCCUGAUGGAGGGGGAUAACUACUGGAAACGGUAGCUAAUACCGCAUAACGUCGCAAGACCAAAGUGGGGGACCUUCGGGCCUCAUGCCAUCAGAUGUGCCCAGAUGGGAUUAGCUAGUAGGUGGGGUAACGGCUCACCUAGGCGACGAUCCCUAGCUGGUCUGAGAGGAUGACCAGCCACACUGGAACUGAGACACGGUCCAGACUCCUACGGGAGGCAGCAGUGGGGAAUAUUGCACAAUGGGCGCAAGCCUGAUGCAGCCAUGCCGCGUGUGUGAAGAAGGCCUUCGGGUUGUAAAGCACUUUCAGCGGGGAGGAAGGCGNAGGUUAAUAACCUCAUCGAUUGACGUUACCCGCAGAAGAAGCACCGGCUAACUCCGUGCCAGCAGCCGCGGUAAUACGGAGGGUGCAAGCGUUAAUCGGAAUUACUGGGCGUAAAGCGCACGCAGGCGGUCUGUCAAGUCGGAUGUGAAAUCCCCGGGCUCAACCUGGGAACUGCAUUCGAAACUGGCAGGCUAGAGUCUUGUAGAGGGGGGUAGAAUUCCAGGUGUAGCGGUGAAAUGCGUAGAGAUCUGGAGGAAUACCGGUGGCGAAGGCGGCCCCCUGGACAAAGACUGACGCUCAGGUGCGAAAGCGUGGGGAGCAAACAGGAUUAGAUACCCUGGUAGUCCACGCCGUAAACGAUGUCGAUUUGGAGGUUGUGCCCUUGAGGCGUGGCUUCCGGAGCUAACGCGUUAAAUCGACCGCCUGGGGAGUACGGCCGCAAGGUUAAAACUCAAAUGAAUUGACGGGGGCCCGCACAAGCGGUGGAGCAUGUGGUUUAAUUCGAUGCAACGCGAAGAACCUUACCUGGUCUUGACAUCCACAGAACUUNUUGGUGCCUUCGGGAACUGUGAGACAGGUGCUGCAUGGCUGUCGUCAGCUCGUGUUGUGAAAUGUUGGGUUAAGUCCCGCAACGAGCGCAACCCUUAUCCUUUGUUGCCAGCGGUUAGGCCGGGAACUCAAAGGAGACUGCCAGUGAUAAACUGGAGGAAGGUGGGGAUGACGUCAAGUCAUCAUGGCCCUUACGACCAGGGCUACACACGUGCUACAAUGGCAUAUACAAAGAGAAGCGACCUCGCGAGAGCAAGCGGACCUCAUAAAGUAUGUCGUAGUCCGGAUUGGAGUCUGCAACUCGACUCCAUGAAGUCGGAAUCGCUAGUAAUCGUAGAUCAGAAUGCUACGGUGAAUACGUUCCCGGGCCUUGUACACACCGCCCGUCACACCAUGGGAGUGGGUUGCAAAAGAAGUAGGUAGCUUAACCUUCGGGAGGGCGCUUACCACUUUGUGAUUCAUGACUGGGGUGAAGUCGUAACAAGGUAACCGUAGGGGAACCUGCGGUUG
Molecule: ribosomal RNA, 1507 nt
Filed under: Klebsiella pneumoniae
Lineage: Bacteria; Pseudomonadati; Pseudomonadota; Gammaproteobacteria; Enterobacterales; Enterobacteriaceae
Description: bacterial SSU rRNA
Rfam family: Bacterial small subunit ribosomal RNA
Source: RNAcentral